CCGACGAUGGUGAAGGUGCUGCCGAGGGGGCCGCUGCGGACGUCCUCGGCGCGCCAGUCGGCGUCCGGGUCGCCGUCGGCGGA
Molecule: transfer RNA, 83 nt
Filed under: Streptomyces fradiae
Lineage: Bacteria; Bacillati; Actinomycetota; Actinomycetes; Kitasatosporales; Streptomycetaceae
Also listed under: 1 other name
Description: tRNA-Arg
Source: RNAcentral